UCCACCUACAUCCACACCUCCACCUACAUCCACACCUCCACCUACAUCCACACCUCCUGCUGGUUCCCCUCUCAUAUCUGUGUUGUCAUCUGUUGGAUCAGCCUGUGUUGUGGUUUUACUGGUGUUACUGGUUCUGCUGGUGAGAACAUGUGUUCACAGGAAACCUGAAGACAGUGAUCCAGCUACAGUUUACUCAGCAGUGAGAACUGAAGACGUCACUUGUGGAAAAAUCAUCAUCAAAGACAAGAAGAAGAAAUCAAAUCUGAGAGGCUUGAGAUCAGCAAUGGCAGGGUUCAAGAGUUGUGUUUGUUUUUGUUUUGUGUGUGUGUUUGCGGGUUAAAUUCAACCAUUUGUGAAACAGAAAAUUGUGAGAACAUCAGUCAAACAGUCAGAAUAUGGAACAGUUCUUGCCCAAUAGUCCAGUUUUUUGUAUACAUCUUCUGAUGUGCAGAAAGUGUGUGAAUGCUCCUCGCAGACUCAUCU
Long non-coding RNA from Oreochromis aureus, 483 nucleotides. RefSeq lists it as uncharacterized. Lineage: Eukaryota; Metazoa; Chordata; Actinopteri; Cichliformes; Cichlidae. The transcript has 3 exons. The record is from RefSeq and is a predicted model, not a curated record.